CUGAUAGGGCUGCGUUAGCAGGUCGCUGUGAUAUAGCGGUUGUGAGAUUUAUCUUCGUCGGU
RNAcentral lists this transfer RNA (62 nucleotides) under Paragonimus westermani complex sp. type 1. RNAcentral's name for it is "tRNA-Ile". The record is from RNAcentral. Lineage: Eukaryota; Metazoa; Platyhelminthes; Trematoda; Plagiorchiida; Troglotrematidae.